RNAcentral lists this ribosomal RNA (253 nucleotides) under uncultured bacterium. Its description in RNAcentral is "partial 16S ribosomal RNA". It matches the Rfam family "Bacterial small subunit ribosomal RNA", at positions 524 to 776 of the family's 1533-position model. The record is from RNAcentral.
UACGAAGGGGGCUAGCGUUGUUCGGAAUUACUGGGCGUAAAGGGUGCGUAGGCGGCCUUGUAAGUUAGGUGUGAAAGCCCCGGUUUCAAGCUGGGAAUAGCAUUUAAUACUGCAAGGCUAGAGGUUAAGAGAGGAUAGUGGAAUUCUGAGUGUAGAGGUAAAAUUCGUAGAUAUUCAGAGGAACACCAGAGGCGAAAGCGUCUAUCUGGAUUACACCUAACGCUGAGGCACGAAAGUAUGGGGAGCAAACAGG